Molecule: long non-coding RNA, 278 nt
Filed under: Homo sapiens (human)
Lineage: Eukaryota; Metazoa; Chordata; Mammalia; Primates; Hominidae
Description: long independently transcribed non-coding RNA 2356, transcript variant 4 (LINC02356)
Source: RNAcentral
AGAGAACAUCUUGAACUCCGACUGGAUGGAAAAUCAGGUGCUUCUACCAGCACAAGGGGAAGUCAGGCAGCCACAGCCCAUGUCCACUUCGACUUCGGCCUCACGGUCCCAGUGACCUGCCGAGUGGGAAGAGCCGUGGCUGGCCGGCCUCCCAGUGGCGACGACGACCUCGCUGUGUUCGUGGCAGCGGCACUCUCAAAUCUGGGCACGGUGAUGGGAAGGUUAUUUGUUGGAAUCCCUUUGCCUUUCCAAGGGAAAAUAAACACAAAAAGUGAGAA